UACGUAGGGUGCAAGCGUUAAUCGGAAUUACUGGGCGUAAAGAGCUCGUAGGCGGUUUGUCGCGUCUGCCGUGAAGGUCCGGGGCUUAACCCCGGAUCUGCGGUGGGUACGGGCAGACUAGAGUGCAGUAGGGGAGACUGGAAUUCCUGGUGUAGCGGUGAAAUGCGUAGAUAUCAAGAGGAACACCUGAGGUGAAGACGGGUUGCUGGGCUGACACUGACGCUGAGGCGCGAAAGCUAGGGUAGCAAACGGG
This 253-nucleotide ribosomal RNA is filed under the name uncultured bacterium. Its description in RNAcentral is "partial 16S ribosomal RNA". It matches the Rfam family "Bacterial small subunit ribosomal RNA", at positions 524 to 776 of the family's 1533-position model. The record is from RNAcentral.